AAUCAUGGACAAUGGUGGAAACCCUGAUCCAUCCAUCCCGCGUGUGCUAUGAAGGCCUUCGGGUUGUAAAGCACUUUUGUCAGGGAAGAAAUCGUACAGGCUAAUAUCCUGUCCGGAUGACGGUACCUGAAGAAUAAGCAUCGGCUAACUACUCGCCAGCAGCCGCGGUAAUACGUAGGUUGCAAGCGUUAAUCGGAAUUACUGGGCGUAAAGGGGGCGCAGGCGGUUUAUAAAGAAAGGUGUGAAAUCCCCGGGCUUAACCUGGGAAUGGCACUUUUAACAGAUAGGCUAGAGUAUGUCAGAGGGGGGUAGAAUUCCACGUGUAGCAGUGAAAUGCGUGGAGAUGUGGAGGAAUACCGAUGGCGAAGGCAGCCCCCUGGGAUAAUACUGACGCUCAUGCACGAAAGCGUGGGGAGCAAACA
This 422-nucleotide ribosomal RNA is filed under the name uncultured bacterium. RNAcentral's name for it is "partial 16S ribosomal RNA". It matches the Rfam family "Bacterial small subunit ribosomal RNA", at positions 360 to 774 of the family's 1533-position model. The record is from RNAcentral.